Molecule: non-coding RNA, 3778 nt
Organism: Aegilops tauschii subsp. strangulata
Lineage: Eukaryota; Viridiplantae; Streptophyta; Magnoliopsida; Poales; Poaceae
Source: RefSeq, a predicted model, not a curated record
ACUGGCCCGUUGUGCACACCCCGGAACGGCCCACUACCACACCCACGACCUUCUCCUCUCCCUCGACGACGCCUCACCAUCCCCCGAUCCCCAUCGACCAAACCACCGCACCGCCCUCCCCUGCCUGCCGCGCCGCGCCGCCCUGCCCGUCAGCAUCUCGUAGCCCCUCCUCGCCGGCCUCGCGCCGCCGCCCACCGGCUAACCCCCACCGCCGCCCAUCGGCGAUGCGCGCCGCGCCGCCGCCCCAAACCUCCACCGCCCACAGGCCUCGAGCGCCGCCGUGAGCCGUGGAUCCGGGGCGCCGACGCCUGGCUCUGGAUCCCGCCCACCGCUGCCAGAGUCCCAGACUGAAGACGAGCAAGCCUGCGCCCCCUCACUCACGUAGCCUCCUCCCGAUGGGGAUCCACCAUCGCGGCGCUCAUGUCGUUCGGCAUCGCCACCUCCGGCUGUUCAACGACGGCGCUCCUGGAUGUUCACCACAUUAGCUCCCAAAUCCCAGCCAUCCAGGGGUCUCCGACACAACUCCACCCCUCUCCGCCCCUGCAUCACCUCCUCCGCCGGUGUUGAAGCCAUCGUCGGCCCUGUGGAACAAACGCCGGCGCCGCCCUCCAAGAACCCGAGCCGCCGCCUGCCACCAAGAUGCUACGCCGCCACUAGUGGCUCCUCCCAAACCCAACGCCCUGCACCCCCAUCUCCUCCACGUCCUGGCGGUCGCUCGCACGCGAGGAUGGUGCUGGCCCGGCUCCAUGCUUCGGACCUGGAGAGGAGAUGGCUGGCUCACACCUAGGCCGGCUUCGCAUCAGUCCAACUACACUGCUAGUCCCUAUCCAGGUUCUGCAAUUUCUGUGCAUCCACUCCUGUGAUUGCUGCAUCUAGAGUGAACGGCUAGUCCCCUAGUCCCCUGUUUCUUUGGAUAAAUUUUUUGUACAAGUUUCGUGAAAGUUGUGCUGAUUUGAUGCCCUCAACUGUUUGUGGUUAUGUCUCUGAUAACUAACAACAUCUUUUGUCCUAUGCCCAAAUUUUUGUGAGCAACAAAUAUUCAUACAUGUGCAUUAUAUCUGUUCUUGUGGGAAUACGUCUACAACAAGUUCGUUUUUGCACCUCUUUCAGAAAAAAUCAUAUUGUACAAUUCUAGUGUAUCUUCUUGAAGUUCAUAUUGUCAAGACCUCGAAGCUCACAUAAUAUAGUUCAGAAGUUUGGAUGACUCAUGUCUGAUAAUUUUUUUUUGAUACAUACACGCGAGCCUGUUCAUAUUUGUAUAUUUGUUAAUUUCAUUAUCCGUUAGGAUCUGGUAUUAGUAGUCUAUUUUUUACGAGCAGUCUUGUUCGACAGAUGCUUUAUCUCUACUCCUAAUGGACGAGUUGGUUGAAUAGUCCCCCCACUUUCGUCUGGUUUUUUUUCGACUGGUUUUUUUUCGUCACCUCCCCACCCCACCUCACCCCACCCCACGCACGCACCCCAAGAAAACCACCCCGUAGGAGGAACGCCCUUCCUCUCGAUCCCCUCCCGUCGCCGCCGCCGUCCUCUCUCCGAUCUCUAGCCUCGCACCUUCUCCCAUCCAUCCCCUCGCCUCUCUUUCCCCCGAUCUAGAUGGCACCUCCCACCAUGGCGGGGAGGCGGCUUCGAGCGCCGCCUGAUCUCCUCGACCCAGGGCCUCACGCUCACCAGCGCCCGCCCAAUCGCGCGCGACCUCUCCACUGCAGCGCGCCCCCGCCCUGUCGCCGAUGUCUUGAUGUGCAGCCCACGCCAUGGGUCUCCGCCGACGCCACGAUGGUCGUGGCCUCCUCACCCGCCGACGCCUCCACUCCAGAUCCGAGCCGCCGGUGAGCCGUCAAGGUCGGGGCAUGGUACUAUCCAUCUUCCCGCGUGUAGGGCAGCCGGUGCCCGCGUCCGCGUAUCCCGGCCAUGGGUGUUGUAUUCAUCUCCUACAUGGGGCGACGAGGAAGAUGAGCCCAGCGGCACGUGUGUCUUCCAGCCGCUCUUGUGAGAUCGGGAGGCAAUCAAAAGCAGGAAGGGGAGAUCGAUGCUUGGGGGUGACAUCCAAUGACCCAGGCAUCACCCUCUCCUGACGUCUUACUACAAACCCGCAGCCACUGCCUCCUCGAUCUACGCUAGCCUGCAGCAGCAAGGUCAGCCCCCCACACUCGGCAUUUUUUUCUUUAGGUCUUGGCGCGGGAAACUGAAAAAGAGAUGCUCCAACAAUCACCACAUCCCCCAUACUGAUUCCUGCAAAUAAGCGUUAAAUAAAAGUAUAUCGAGUUUGAUGACGAUGAUGAUUGAAAAGAAGAGGAUGAAGCACUAGUCAGAGGGUAUCCGAGUGUACAUGAUGCCCCUGGGUGGGUGUCGGCGUGAGCUGGUAUGGCCCCGUCGUGGCUAUGUAGAUGGGGAGGCGGGGUGGAGGCUGGGACUGCAUGGGGAAAAAGCAUAAAGAGCAAGACGGUAGUGCUGUACUGUGGCAUGGUCAUGUGUGUAGCCUCAGCACAGCGUUGUACUGUGGCAUGGCUGUGUGUGUGACGUCGGUGCAGCGGCAAAGAGUAGUCUUUGGAGCAGGGCAGCGGCACACACACACAUGAGGGUGGCCCUCGAGGCUUGGGGGUUAAGCAGGUGCGCGAUGGAUCCCGUGGAAGUGGAGAGAGAAGCAUCAUGCUCAUGAACUUGAAAAAUGAUUUCGAGUUUGAACAAAGAAAGUUUACCAAAGAAGACAUCAAAGAAAUUAUAUUUAGGGAGAUACUGGAAUACCUCCCUCAACUUCUCAAGGAUUACAUGCACGGAUCUGAAAAUACUUACUAUGUCCUAUGUUUCUACCUUGACAUAUCUUGCAAUCUGCUAAGAGGAAGAUGGUGGAAAGAGCGGGCGAGUCGAGAGAAAACAUUUUCUUCUCCCAAGGUAAUUUACACUAUCAUAAUUCCCCCAACUGUGACUUGUUAUAUACACACCUAGACCACCCCACACCGCCACUAUAGUACACGGACGCCGCUCACCUGCAAAGGGCAAAAGGCUCCUCCUUUUACCAUAAAACAUGUCCCUGGGUAGGAAGGUGGCCUACCCGGCCACAAGCAAAAAAGGGAAGGUCGCUUGCAGACACCGGUGGUGAAGAAAACGAUCCGGAAGAGCAGAAGUGUUAUUCCAUACCGAGCUGUACCGUGUGUUUUCAGUUUUAUGAAGAAUGGUUUGCGAUUACACGGUAUUUGAAACCUUCUUUUCACACACUGAGCCUUGUGAUCUGACGGUAUGUGGCUUCUGUGUUCUUGCGUAGGUGUCGAACUACACUACCAGCAGCAGAGGCUGCACCUUGUCUUUAGCAAAGACGGAAAGCCUGCUAAUUAAUGAUACAGGGAGAUGAACGAUGUGGAUAUGAAGAAGUAGUGGGUUGUGCUUUUCAGCAGUAAAUGCAUUUAGAGAUUAGAUGGCUUGCUCCAAAGACAAGCAACUAAUCUCGUUGAUGGGAUUGCUGCGCAGAUUCAUGGAUCGUGCUCUUCCGUGGUAAGGAGCCUGUGGCUCUCUCAAGUCUCAACUGAUCAGAAGAUCUUGGUUAGCUGGUUGGUCAGAGGAAGAAAGCAGAACGCAUGAAUGAAAGUGGAGAGGACAAAGAAAGAUGUGUGGAUACUCAUAGUUGAAGUAAAUAAGUAUUAUGGGGAUUCUCAUAGUUGGAGAAUAUAAGUAUUAUGCGGAUUCUCAUGGUUGGAGUUAAUAACGGACACACUGGCGUAUUAGUUGUUUGCCCAACAACGGACAUCAUAUUUUUAUUUCGUGGUAAUGCACGACAUUCAAUUGUAUA